This 21-nucleotide unclassified non-coding RNA is filed under the name Dictyostelium discoideum. The record is from RNAcentral. Lineage: Eukaryota; Evosea; Eumycetozoa; Dictyosteliales; Dictyosteliaceae.
UAACUGGUUGAUCCUGCCAGU